GGUCGAUCGGUGAUCAAGAAGGCCGAUGGCCUAGAGAGAGCACCUUCAUUGCACAUACAGAAGGGGGUCCUGUCUAGCAUCUCCCAUUGUGGAGAGUGCACGUCAUAAUUUGUGACAGCGGGGGCUCGCGUUCGCGCGGCCCCCACUCAAAUCGAAUUCUAAGAAUAAAUUCAGCAUAGUGCAGGCUACAGAGGAUAAUUUUAACGUCUGUUUGAUCAUUCAACUCUCUACUGUCCAGGGGUUUGUAGAGAGCAAACAUCUCCAUCGUCUGUACGAACAAAAUACAGAAAACUGUUUAAAAAUCACAAAAAUAUACUGAUUUCACUUUUCCUGAAACUGAAUAGAUCAAUUCUGCACCUUACUCAGAUUAGUGUGGAUUGACUACACAACAUCAUAUUCUAAACCAGCAGACAAUCAAUCAAAGUUCUCAUAUUUAUUUUCCGAGACAGGUAGUUGACUCAUUUCCAUUCUCAUAUUUCAUUAUCUGAGAUUAUUGGAGAGGUUAAUUGCUCAAUUUUGGUCCCAAUUCAUUAUCAGAAACUUAAGGAGUUGAUCCAACAUUUUCAUGUUGAUUUUCUGAAAUAAGAGCUAUUAACCUCUCAUUUUAAAAAAAGGUAUAUCUGCGUUUUCUAAAAUAGAGGGUGUUGCCUCUGGUUAGUAAUUCUUCAUUUCCCUGUAAUAAGAAAAGGGAAAUGGAUAAACACUGCAACUCAAUAACAAUUGUACACACAAUAAAAGCAACAAGACACAUCCGUUAAUAGGUGCAACACUUCACAAAAGACAGCAAUUUUUGGGCAGUUCUCUAUGGUUCUUUAUUUACAGUCAUUUUCUCUGUAUUAAACAAUUUUGAAAUUUUACGAGGUGGACUGCACAAAUUUCUCUGAUUUAGUUAUGAAAAAGUCACAGUUUUGGGCACCAUCUACGUCGUCUGUACGAACAAAAUCCAGAAAAAUGUUUUAAAAUCACAAAAAUCUAAAGUUCUUGUUCAUCCAAUCUGCUAAACUAGAAGUGAAAAACACCCCAGCAAAUACCCAGUUCGGCUAUAACAUGCUAAUACAAGUUGAACAGGGCCGACUAAGAUUACCGCCCUAACUUUUGAAAAUACAAUUAUCGAUUACUCCUAAACCAAACAGGUGUAAACAUACUUGGAGAGGGCCUACUCUUCCCAGACAACAAUUUAUUAUGAUGGCCGACUCAUAUGGUGGCCGAUCCCAUAAUCAGGCCUUAAACAAAGGCUAUGUAUAUAGACAGCAAUUAAAGUUAAAGGGAAGGCAGCGAUUUUAAAAUAGCAAAGGUUGUAAUGCCUAAAGCAGCGAUUGGAAUAUAUGCGGUGAUUGGCGUAUGGAAAGGUAGCGUUAGGAGAGUACUUAGAUUUAUAUAAUAUAUGUCUUAUGAAAGCCGACUAAGGCAAAGCGAGUUUAAAUAAUCAAGAGGGGAAGUGAUUCUUAAACAAAGGGAGCCGAGUUUUUCAUAAGGCCGACCUCAUAGAGGGGAUUAAGAUGAGUUGAAAGAUAAAUUAAAAUAAAAUCAGAAAUGAUUAAAGACGCUGAUCCUAGGAAUAGAGGAUUAAGAUGAGUUAAAAGAUAAAUUAAAAUAAAAUCAGAAAUGAUUAAAGAGGCUGAUCCUAGGAAUAGAUGCCUCUCUUGGGAAAUUAACUAGAUAUAAAAGGUACAUAGAGUAGAGGAUAGAAGAGUGUGUCCAAAAAUGACAAAAACAAUUCAAAGGGAAGAAGAUCAGAGUUCCCAUAAAGUGAGUGAUCAAAUCGUUUAAAUCGACUUGAACCUGAGAGUGGUACUCUGCAUACUCCUUUGUUGUAUGCUUUGUGGUAUGGAGAAAUAGAAGUUUUAUGCAGUGAUAGAUGCAUGUCUCCUCAUAUAUACAUAUAAUAGAUGUAUGUGUCCUUAUAUACUAAUAUAAUAAAUAUCUAUGCUAGCAGAAAAGGUAUGAUAGAUAUAUAAAAAAAAUAAAGUACAUCUGAAAAUUAAGAGAGAUGGAUCAAAUAAGGAUCUUAAUAAAUGAAUAGUAUUUAGCAUACAGUCCUUGAGCAUUAUAUAAGUGUUUGGGUCUCAUGCAUUAUCUUACUUACUAGCU
Cryptomeria japonica (Japanese cedar) is the source of this 2091-nucleotide long non-coding RNA. RefSeq lists it as uncharacterized. The transcript has 3 exons. The record is from RefSeq and is a predicted model, not a curated record. NCBI's taxonomy places the organism in Eukaryota, Viridiplantae, Streptophyta, Pinopsida, Cupressales, Cupressaceae.